UACAGGGGGUGCAAACGUUGCUCGGAAUCAUUGGGCGUAAAGCGCACGUAGGCGGCCAACUAAGUCAGACGUGAAAUCCCUCGGCUUAACCGGGGAACUGCGUCUGAUACUGGAUGGCUUGAGUUUGGGAGAGGGAUGCGGAAUUCCAGGUGUAGCGGUGAAAUGCGUAGAUAUCUGGAGGAACACCGGUGGCGAAGGCGGCAUCCUGGACCAACACUGACGCUGAUGAGCGAAAGCCAGGGGAGCAAACGGG
RNAcentral lists this ribosomal RNA (253 nucleotides) under uncultured bacterium. Its description in RNAcentral is "partial 16S ribosomal RNA". It matches the Rfam family "Bacterial small subunit ribosomal RNA", at positions 524 to 776 of the family's 1533-position model. The record is from RNAcentral.